UAGCUCAAUGGUAGAGUGCUUGCCUAGCAUGCAUGUGGCCCUAGGUUCAAUUCCUAG
RNAcentral lists this transfer RNA (57 nucleotides) under Cavia porcellus (domestic guinea pig). It matches the Rfam family "tRNA", at positions 8 to 63 of the family's 71-position model. Rfam says of the family: Transfer RNA (tRNA) molecules are approximately 80 nucleotides in length. Lineage: Eukaryota; Metazoa; Chordata; Mammalia; Rodentia; Caviidae. The record is from Rfam by way of RNAcentral.